GUUUAUUUGACGAGUCCUAAAUAAGACGAAACACAUGUCCUGGAU
Non-coding RNA from Schistosoma haematobium, 45 nucleotides. The record is from Rfam. NCBI's taxonomy places the organism in Eukaryota, Metazoa, Platyhelminthes, Trematoda, Strigeidida, Schistosomatidae.